Anastrepha ludens (Mexican fruit fly) is the source of this 1597-nucleotide long non-coding RNA. RefSeq lists it as uncharacterized. The record is from RefSeq and is a predicted model, not a curated record. Lineage: Eukaryota; Metazoa; Arthropoda; Insecta; Diptera; Tephritidae. The transcript is spliced from 3 exons.
UUAUUCCAUUCUGUAGCGAAAGAUCAUCUCUGCAUAUGGCAUUCGCGCAUUUACAAAGAGCACUCUCUUUCGUGCACAACGAUAACACACUCGCCCCAGCACUCCCGUUCAGAUACAAUCGUUUCCACACACAUUUACGCUCUCGCGCACUGCCUUGCCGAAAUUUUGUUAAUAAGUACAUGCAUAUGUACAUGUGUAAUGGAAACGUGACCACCACAUUGUGCAGAGAACGAUCAAGACUCCCACACCAAAACAUACAUAUGUAUGUAUGUAGGUGCCUGUUCAGAUGUGGGUACAAGUAAAUAAGCACUCGUUCACUCACAGGCAUAGGCCUAUUUGGAACGGCUUGAAAUGUGGAAAAAAAUGAACAUAAAAAGAUUUAAAAGCAAGAAAAUGAUAAAAAAACGAGCUGGCUACAUAAACAGAUAAAAAGGCAGACAAAAAAUAAAUUUGUAUAGAGGAAAAAACUUGUUUAUCUUACUGUCAUUUCGUAUGUACAAAAUAAUGAUAUAUGGGUAUAUAUAGCAUGUAUGAGCAUAUACAAUAUGUGUGCAUUUCUGUACAGCUACAUGCAAGUAAAAUUGACUGUGUUGAAUAAAUAGGCCUCUGAUGGCUCUUCUGUUGCUCCAGCACUUGCGCCCAUGUCGGCUUGUUUAUGUAUCUAUUUGCAUGGAUCUUUUUUAAUUUAAAAGUUUACUUUUCAUUUGUUUUUUAACCCUCCCCAAUCACCCCUCUUCUCACAUUAUUUAGUUUGCUUUUCUGAUUUUUUCAGUUUGCUGUUGUCUGUUUUUUCAUCGGUUAUUUGCUUGUUUUUUGUAUUUGUUUGCUUUUCUACUUUUAGGUCUCUUAUAGGCCUUUCAAGGUGUAUGGUACCGUUUAUCUUUCUUGUUAUUUAGUGUUUUUUCUUCUAUUUGUGUUUUCGUGCUCCAUACAUUAUGAUUUUUGUAUUUCUUUUUUAAAGAGUUUAUUUUUUUUUUUUUAACUUUUUUCUCUUACUUGCUUACUUUGUUUGUUUCACAGCUGGUUUGACUGGUUUCCUCAACCUCUUCGAGUGUUUUCUUCGUCACCCGAUUACAAACAAACCAACACACACAUAGGUACGUGCAUGUGUGUAUGUAUAACACGAAUGUAUUAUAAGAUGCUCAAAAAAGCAUCAUGCAAGCAAACAGACAUCAAAGGUUCAUAUAAAUACUACUUCCCCACCACUUUCCCCCGGUAGCUUGACGAUCAGUCAACUGAUCUUUUGGCUUCUCUACUUUGUUUGCUGUGUCUUACUCAGCGCUUUGUAUUUUUUGUUGGUUUGUCGCUUUACAUACAUACAUACGUAUACGCAAACUACAAACAUUCGUACAUACACACACACAUAAGUGGUUCGAUACCGGCCUGCCUCACUCACUCGUUCACUCAGCGGCUACUGUAUUACCCACAACCGGCUCUUCAGUAAGUAAAAACUGCCUAUAAACAUACUUAUUUACAUAUCGAAAUAAAAGUACCGCGUAGGACACACAAAACAAGAAAAAAUCACAUAACACUUCUCAUUUAUGAAGCAGUAGACUACGGUGUGUCGGGUGCAGAGCUGCUAUGGUGAAGUCCUUGC